This is a small nucleolar RNA of Tachyglossus aculeatus (Australian echidna), 138 nucleotides long. The record is from RefSeq and is a predicted model, not a curated record. NCBI's taxonomy places the organism in Eukaryota, Metazoa, Chordata, Mammalia, Monotremata, Tachyglossidae.
UCCCUCUCAGGGUCGCAGCUGGAGAAUGUCCACUACUCUACCAGUCUCGGCUAUAGGAGGGAGAGUCAAGCAGAGGCAUACCCAUUCCAUUCCUAGCUUGGGCAGUGGCUAGCGAGUGAAAGGCAAUCUGCUACGAGU